GCACCACAGUAGUGAUGGUACAGUGAACUAGAGUGGCAGCACAACACCACAGUAGUGAUGGUGGUGGUACAGUGAACUAGAGUGGCAGCACAACACCACAGUAGUGAUGGUGAUGGUACAGUGAACUAGAGUGGCAGCACAACACCACAGUAGUGAUGGUA
This is a non-coding RNA of Procambarus clarkii (red swamp crayfish), 161 nucleotides long. NCBI's taxonomy places the organism in Eukaryota, Metazoa, Arthropoda, Malacostraca, Decapoda, Cambaridae. The record is from RefSeq and is a predicted model, not a curated record.